CGGACGGGUGAGUAAUGUCUGGGGAAACUGCCUGAUGGAGGGGGAUAACUACUGGAAACGGUAGCUAAUACCGCAUAACGUCGCAAGACCAAAGAGGGGGACCUUGGGCCUCUUGCCAUCGGAUGUGCCCAGAUGGGAUUAGCUAGUAGGUGGGGUAACGGCUCACCUAGGCGACGAUCCCUAGCUGGUCUGAGAGGAUGACCAGCCACACUGGAACUGAGACACGGUCCAG
Molecule: ribosomal RNA, 232 nt
Filed under: uncultured bacterium
Lineage: Bacteria
Description: partial 16S ribosomal RNA
Rfam family: Bacterial small subunit ribosomal RNA
Source: RNAcentral